RNAcentral lists this unclassified non-coding RNA (1228 nucleotides) under Hevea brasiliensis (rubber tree). Lineage: Eukaryota; Viridiplantae; Streptophyta; Magnoliopsida; Malpighiales; Euphorbiaceae. The record is from RNAcentral.
UUGGGUGGGCAGACAAGCAUCAGGUAGCAAUGUUACUUCAUUCUCAUCCUUUCUUUUUGGAGUAAAGUUUGUAAUUUAGACAUGGCAAUCUCAUAACUGAAUGAUUUCUCAUGUGCCUUUGUUAAGUUAUCUAAUAAUAUUUCCAUUAAUGGUGGAGAUAAGAUUUUCUAUGCAAUUUGUAGAUAUGCUCUUUUGCUUCAUUAAGUCAACGUGAUGGAUGUCAUGUGGAAGCUCACAGCUGCUACUGCCAUUUUCCUAACUUUGCCUCCUACACUACUAUAAUAUAAUUUGAUCAACUUUUUCUGAACUUUUAUUUAUAACACUAUCUUAUUGCUGAAUAUAAUCUAAUUUGAGGUUUUCGUUAUUUUUUUAAUGGAAAUCAUUAAAUUUUUUAUGUGAUUUCAUCAUAGCUUUCAAAGUUCUUACUAUAAGUUACUUAUAGUUUAGGGUACUUGUAUGUAAGUAUAGUUGCUAGCAGCCAGCAUGAUGUUAGUUGUGAUAGUGAAAGUGCAACUGUGUCUAAAAGUAUGCUUUAGUGUAAAGUAUUACCCAGUCAUAAUGUCUGAUGUUUGUUGUGAUACUCAUUUUAUAGCCAUUAGAAGGAAAACUAGGAGUGUAUCACUUUAUUUCUGUACAAUGAUAUUACUGUGGAAGGACUGUUAAGUGCUGAACUAAUGUACCACACAUUAGUGAGUUGCUAUAGAUCUUGGUGUCUCCCAAGAACAAAAUGCCUCAAGGGAAGUAGGUAGAGGGGUAUGCAUCAAAUGUUUUUCUUAUGAAAUAAGUAUACAAAUGUCAAUAAGUGGUGUUUUGAGUAAGAUUAUGGUUGACGAUUAAGCGUUCAGAUCAUUUAGUUUUUGGCCACCAUUGCGACCACAAAAAUUAGGAUCUGUAGAUAAGCAUAAGGUUUGCCUCUGCCUCAGCACCUUUUGUGCAAUUUUAAGAAGUCGGCAUUGAUAAAAGUGUUUACGAUAACUAGAAAAUGGUAGAAACAGUAAAAGGAAGUUAUAUUAAUGGGCCAACUUGAGGUUUAAAUCUCACUAAGCAAAAAAUUAAAAAGACAAGAUUACGGGAAAUACAUUGCAUCUUUUGCUGAAAUCAGGAAAGUAAGGACCUCCUCUUUCUCCUUUUAAUCUUGGAUGCAUUUCUUCAUUCAUUUAGUUAUCAGGACCUUUAAUCUCUGCACAUCACUGGGUGUGCAUUUAGUAGAGAGAGAGAGAGAGAGAGA